This 369-nucleotide ribosomal RNA is filed under the name Gammarus plaitisi. RNAcentral's name for it is "partial 16S ribosomal RNA". The stretch from base 237 to 369 matches the Rfam family "Bacterial large subunit ribosomal RNA", at positions 2473 to 2606 of the family's 2925-position model. The record is from RNAcentral. Lineage: Eukaryota; Metazoa; Arthropoda; Malacostraca; Amphipoda; Gammaridae.
GAGGACUAGUAUGAAAGGUUAAACAAAUUAAUCAUGUUUGAUUAGCUUAAUAGAAAAUUAAAGUUAAGGUAAGAAUUCUUUAAUUGUUUAGGGGACGAUAAGACCCUAGAAGCUUUUAAAAAAUAAAAAUUAUUAUAAGAAAAGAGUGUUUUUUUACUGGGGCGGUUAUAGUAUUUAAUCUAUUGUUAUUUUGGUCGAUCCUUAAUAUAAAGAUAUUACGGUUGAGUUACUCUAGGGGUAACAGUGUAAUGUUUUUGGAUAGGCCAUAUUGAUAAAAAUGUUUGCAACCUCGAUGUUGAAUUAAGAUGUCUAUAUAAAGAAGCAGGUAUAAUAGAGGGUUUGUUCAACCUUUAUAGUCUUACAUGAUCU